GGGUGAGUAACGCGUAUCCAACCUGCCUUACACUCUUGGACAGCCUUCUGAAAGGGAGAUUAAUACAAGAUGUUAUCAUGAGUAAGCAUUUUCGCAUGAUUAAAGGUUUACCGGUGUAAGAUGGGGAUGCGUUCCAUUAGAUAGUAGGCGGGGUAACGGCCCACCUAGUCUUCGAUGGAUAGGGGUUCUGAGAGGAAGGUCCCCCACAUUGGAACUGAGACACGGUCCAAACUCCUACGGGAGGCAGCAGUGAGGAAUAUUGGUCAAUGGACGAGAGUCUGAACCAGCCGAGUAGCGUGAAGGAUGAAGGUUCUAUGGAUUGUAAACUUCUUUUAUACGGGAAUAAACGGAUCCACGUGUGGAUUUUUGCAUGUACCGUAUGAAUAGGGAUCGGCUAACUCCGUGCCAGCAGCCGCGGUAAUACGGAGGAUCCGAGCGUUAUCCGGAUUUAUUGGGUUUAAAGGGAGCGUAGAUGGGUUGUUAAGUCAGUUGUGAAAGUUUGCGGCUCAACCGUAAAAUUGCAAUUGAUACUGGCAGUCUUGAGUACAGUUGAGGUAGGCGGAAUUCGUGGUGUAGCGGUGAAAUGCUUAGAUAUCACGAAGAACUCCGAUUGCGAAGGCAGCUUACUAACCUGUAACUGACAUUGAUGCUCGAAAGUGUGGGUAUCAAACAGGAUUAGAUACCCUGGUAGUCCACACGGUAAACGAUGAAUACUCGCUGUAGGCGAUAUACAGUCUGCGGCCAAGCGAAAGCAUUA
This 757-nucleotide ribosomal RNA is filed under the name uncultured bacterium. RNAcentral's name for it is "bacterial SSU rRNA". It matches the Rfam family "Bacterial small subunit ribosomal RNA", at positions 104 to 862 of the family's 1533-position model. The record is from RNAcentral.